CUGGGUUCUUCACUGGUCUCGUCAGACGGUCAAGCAACUCGCAGCAAGCAGGAUUAUAAGGUAACGUUAGCUGCAUUAGCUGCCCUUAACGUUAAACCACAAUAUUGUAGAAUUUGUUUUGCCUCCCAAAAAAAUUUGAGAUGGUGGAUUCGCAGCAAUGGGUCUACACAGAAAUCUUGAAGGAGUUCCCCAGGCUUCUAGAAAAACUUGGCAUGAUGCUGAAAGGGAGAGUGCUUUCAAAGUCCUGCCCGCUCUGCUUCCCCAAUCAAUAUUCAAGAACGGAGGACAGGUCUUCAGACCCACAACCACAGAAUCCUGGAAGUCAUUCAUUUGACGUACAACCUGCGGGGACCAACAUGGUGAUGCAUUCCUGUACAUUUUGUGCCUUGGUGCUGAGUCAACGACCUCCCACACCUUCACCAUUGUUUCA
Long non-coding RNA from Onychostoma macrolepis, 430 nucleotides. RefSeq lists it as uncharacterized. The record is from RefSeq and is a predicted model, not a curated record. The transcript has 5 exons. Lineage: Eukaryota; Metazoa; Chordata; Actinopteri; Cypriniformes; Cyprinidae.